AAGAAAAAUUGGUCUCGAUCGUAAAGGGAUAGGUCUCAUUUUCUAUACGGUGUUUUACCUCAUUAAUCAUGAAAAUAAAGAUAUUAAAUUUCACUGGACUUGACACUUGAUUUUUUUUCUGAGAAAGAAAAUGAAUGCUUCGAAAUACAUCUAAUCCACGAGUUCAUAAGAGAUAAUUAUUCUCUUUAAUAAACUUUUUUUGUGUCGUGCAGAGCACAAUACGAUUCUAUCUUUCGCUUCAUCAGAAAAAAUCUGGGACGGAAGGAUUCGAACCUCCGAGUAACGGGACCAAAACCCGCUGCCUUACCACUUGGCCAUGCCCCAUUUCAUUUUAUCCGACACUAAUAAACAGUAUUAUUUUUAUAUAUUAUUUGUCAAUCCCACUUCAAUUACCUAAAAAAUGAGGGAUAUUUUCUUGCUAGGAUUCUAGACAUGCGGAUAAUAUAGAAUCCAAAAAAUGCAUUGAUCAUUACAUGGAAUUCUAUUAAGAUAUUAUAUGAAAGUCAAAUUUCUUCCAUUCUCAUUUGAGAAGGAGAAUACAAGGAGGUAUUUUGUGUUUGGGAAAGUCCGAAGAAAAAAGGAUUUAGAAUCCACCCUUUCUUUUGCUUUUUUUCCCUUAGAAAAAUAACUCAAUCAAAAUCCAAUUAUCUACUCUACAAGAACGAAAUGCUUGGUAUGCCUAAUAUACUUAGUUUAACCUGUAUCUGUUUUAAUUCUGUUCUUUGUCUGACUAGCUUUUUCUUCGCCAAAUUACCCGAAGCUUAUGCCAUUUUCAACCCAAUCGUGGAUGUUAUGCCUAUCAUACCUAUACUCUUUUUUCUAUUAGCGUUUGUUUGGCAAGCCGCUGUAAGUUUACGAUGAAAUCUUUACUAUCUCUGUCUGCCAAUGUAUUCAUUCCAAAAAAAAUGGAUAAGAGCCAAGAAGUCUUAUAUUAUGAACCUUCGAUUCUAAAAUUGAAAUUCUUCUACAUUGAAUGUAUAGCUGCAGCAAUAAAUUUGGAUCCACCUUUCUAUCCCCUGCGGCUACGUUGAGCAGGUACCUUUAGUUACCCACACAAUACCUAAACAAAUUUUUGAUAUUGAUAAGAGUGCUUUUUAUAAAGCAAUUCUUGCAAUUUUUUUAAGAAUUUAUUUUUGCAUUUUUAGGUGUCAAAAUAAAAAAACCAUCCUAGUGGAUCUGUGUGGUAAAGAAAAAUGGGUAAUCUAUUCCUUAACAAAAAAAAUCUUGGAGACUAUGUAAUGCUUACUCUCAAAAUUUUUGUUUAUAUAGUAGUGAUAUUCUUUGUUUCCCUCUUUAUCUUUGGAUUCUUAUCUAAUGAACCAGGACGUAAACCUGGGCGUGAGGAGUAAAAAUCCAAAAUUUUUGGGAAUUUUUUCUUACAAAUUGGAUUUAUUUCGUACAUUUAUCUAUGAGAAAAUCCGGGGGUCAGAAUUCCUUACAAUUCGAAAGUUCCAAAUAAUCCAAAGGGGCGGAAAGAGAGGGAUUCGAACCCUCGGUACAAAAACAUUGUACAAUGGAUUAGCAAUCCGCCGCUUUAGUCCACUCAGCCAUCUCUCCCCGUUCGAAAUCGAAAGGUUUUCGUGAUAUGACAGAGGCAAGAAAUAACGAUUGCAAAAAUCCUUCCUUUUUCUUUCAUUUCAAAAGUGCAUAAAAAUUAUAUUGCCAAUUCCAUUUUAAUUAUAUUCUUUUUUCUUAUCUUAAUGUUAGUAAAAAAGAAGAAAAUUCUUGUUUUUUCUUUCCAAAAUUUGAUAUAGGCUGGGCUGAGAUGAGAGACAAUCAGAUAAAUUUUCUCUUCAGCGGGAAGUUCCAUAUAGGAUUUGUUAUAAUAAAACAAGUAGGUUAUAAAAAAAUCUUUUUUUCGAUUAUUUAUCCACAAAGCAAAAAAGGUUCUUAUGAAACCCACAGUAAAAUUAGAAAGAAAGAUAAUGUAAGUAGACCUGACCCCUUGAAUAAUGCCUCUAUCCGCUAUUCUGAUAUAUAAAUUUGAUGUGGAUGAAAUUGGUGUAUAAGCGGAUUUUUUGUAUUUCCUUAGACUUAGAUCGGGCAAGGCAAUAAUUUUUCGCUCUUUACGAUUUCAUAUUCUUGUUACUAUACGUUCUAUAGGAAUAAGAAGAAAUCGCAACUCUUUUCCAUUACACAUAAAAAGGGUUUCAAAAGUCAAUUUUUCUUUUCAAUAUCUUUCUUUUUUUCAGAAUCCUAUUUUUGUUCUUCCACCCAUGCAAUAGAGAGUGAAUGAGAAAAUAAGGGUUAUUUUUCCCUUAAAAGAUAGGCUUUGAAAUAGGAAUCAUGGAAUAAUGCUGAAUUCAAAUGUUUAUUUUUUUAUUUCUAUAGUAAAAGAAAAGAAAAAUAAAUUGAAUGAAAUUCGUGGAUUUACCACGACCUUGGUUGUGACCCCAUAGAUAAAAAUGCAAAAUUUCUAUCUUCGAGACCAUUGAAAAAGGGCAUUGAACGAGAAAGAAAUCGUCCACAGAUAAUCAAACUAUCGUAUGCAAUGGAAGUAAUAUGAGGUGCUCGGAAAUGGUUGAAGUAAUUGAAUAGGAGGAUCACUAUGACUAUAGCCCUUGGUAGAGUUACUAAAGAAGAAAAUGAUCUAUUUGAUAUUAUGGACGACUGGUUACGAAAGGACCGUUUCGUUUUUGUAGGAUGGUCCGGCCUAUUGCUCUUUCCUUGUGCUUAUUUCGCUUUAGGGGGUUGGUUUACAGGGACUACUUUUGUAACUUCUUGGUAUACCCAUGGAUUGGCUAGUUCCUAUUUGGAAGGUUGCAAUUUCUUAACCGCGGCGGUUUCCACUCAUGCCAAUAGUUUAGCACACUCUUUGUUGCUACUAUGGGGCCUGGAAGCACAGGGGGAUUUUACUCGUUGGUGUCAAUUAGGUGGUCUGUGGACUUUUGUCGCUCUCCAUGGGGCUUUUGCACUAAUAGGUUUCAUGUUACGUCAAUUUGAACUUGCUCGGUCUGUUCAAUUUGCGGCCUUAUAAUGCAAUUUCAUUCUCUGGUCCAAUCACAGUUUUUAUUUCCGUAUUCCUUAUUUAUCCAGUGGGACAAUCUGGUUGGUUCUUUGCGCCGAGUUUUGGCAUAGCAGCUAUAUUUCGAUUUAUCCUUUUCUUCCAAGGAUUUCAUAAUUGCACGUUGAACCCAUUUCAUAUGAUGGGAGUUGCCGGAGUAUUAGGCGCAGCUUUGCUAUGCGCUAUCCAUGGGGCUACCGUAGAAAACACUCUAUUUGAAGAUGGUGAUGGUGCAAAUACCUUCCACGCUUUUAACCCAACUCAAGCUGAAGAAACGUAUUCAAUGGUCACUGCUAACCGCUUUUGGUCCCAAAUCUUUGGUGUUGCUUUUUCCAAUAAACGUUGGUUACAUUUCUUUAUGCUAUGUGUACCCGUCACCGGUUUAUGGAUGAGUGCUAUUGGCGUAGUUGGCCUGGCUCUGAACCUACGUGCCUAUGACUUCGUUUCCUUGGAAAUCCGUGCAGCGGAAGAUCCUGAAUUUGAGAAUUUCUACACCAAAAAUAUUCUUUUAAACGAGGGUAUUCAUGCGUGGAUGGCAGCACAGGAUCAACCUCAUGAAAAUCUUAUAUUCCCUGAGGAGGUUCUACCACGUGGAAACGCUCUUUAAUGGAACUUUCGUUUUAGCUGGUCGUGACCAAGAAACCACCGGCUUUGCUUGGUGGGCUGGGAAUGCCAGACUUAUCAAUUUGUCCGGUAAACUACUUGGAGCUCAUGUAGCCCAUGCCGGAUUCUGGGCCGGAGCAAUGAACCUAUUUGAAGUGGGCCAUUUCGUACCAGAAAAGCCCAUGUAUGAACAAGGGUUGAUUUUACUUCCGCACUUAGCUACUCUGGGUUGGGGAGUAGGGCCGGGGGGGGAAGUUCUAGAUACUUUUCCUUACUUUGUAUCAGGAGUACUUCACCUAAUUUCCUUCGCAGUCUUAGGCUUCGGUGGCAUUUAUCACGCGCUUCUGGGACCCGAGACUCUUGAAGAAUCUUUUCCAUUCUUUGGUUAUGUAUGGAAAGAUAGAAAUAAAAUGACUACAAUUUUGGGUAUUCACUUAAUUUUGUUAGGUCUAGGUGCUUUUCUUCUAGUACUCAAUGCUCUUUAUUUUGGCGGCGUAUAUGAUACCUGGGCCCCCGGAUGAGGGGAUGUAAGAAAAAUUACUAAUUUGACCCUUAGCCCCGGUGUUAUAUUUGGUUACUUACUAAAAUCCCCUUUUGGGGGAGAAGGAUGGAUUGUUAGUGUGGAUGAUUUAGAAGAUAUAAUUGGGGGACAUGUAUGGUUGGGUUCCAUUUGUGUACUUGGCGGAAUUUGGCAUAUCUUAACCAAGCCCUUUGCAUGGGCUCACUAUGCAUUUGUAUGGUCUGGCGAAGCUUACUUGUCUUAUAGUUUAGGUGCUUUAUCUGAUUUUGGUUUUACCACUUGUUGUUUUGUCUGGUUCAAUAAUACCGCUUAUCCAAGUGAGUUUUACGGACCCACUGGGCCAGAAGCUUCUCAAGCUCAAGCAUUUACUUUUCUAGUUAGAGACCAGCGUCUUGGAGCUAAUGUAGGGUCUGCCCAAGGACCGACAGGUUUAGGUAAAUAUCUAAUGCGUUCCCCAACGGGAGAGGUCAUUUUUGGAGGGGAAACUAUGUGUUUUUGGGACCUUCGUGCUUCGUGGUUAGAACUUCUAAGGGGCCCCAACGGUUUGGACUUGAGUAGGUUGAAAAAAGACAUCCAACCUUGGCAAGAACGACAUUCGGUAGAAUAUAUGACCCAUGCUCCUUUAGGCUCUUUAAAUUCUGUGGGUGGCGUAGCUACCGAGAUCAAUGCAGUUAAUUAUGUCUCUCCUAGAAGUUGGUUAGCGACUUCCCAUUUUGUUCUAGGAUUCUUCUUUUUUGUGGGCCAUUUGUGGCAUGCAGGAAGAGCCCGAGCUGCUGCUGCAGGCUUUGAAAAGGGAAUUGAUCGUGAUUUGGAACCUGUUCUUUACAUGACCCCUCUUAACUAAGAUUUUUUUAUUUCUACCUGUUCCACUUUUUUUCUGUUCUGGCUCGGUUAUUCCAUCUAGCUGAGCCAUUCAUGCUUUUUUAUGAAAGAGUGAUAUAAGGGGGCAGAACAAAGAAAAACAUAGAAAGAAACAAAUGUAUUCAAUAAACAAAAGGAGAGAGAGGGAUUCGAACCCUCGAUAGUUCCUAGAACUAUACCGGUUUUCAAGACCGGGGCUAUCAACCACUCAGCCAUCUCUCCACAGCCAAAUCCCUAUUUUAUUCCUACAAAUAGAACAUAGCUAUAUGAAAUGAUCUACUAACUCCUAGAAACAUCUCAGAUGCAAGUCCACUUUCGAUAUAUCUCUGUAUACUGUAUACACGGAUACAGAAUCCGCUAUAUCCGUUUGUGAAAUAAACGCUAAAUCCCCUCAACUCUAUAUCCAAAUAAAAGCGGUAAGGAAAAAGUUUUAAAGAGAAGAAUCAAUGGAUUCAUGAUUAAACCCCUCCUACUUCUUGUAUUUUCGUACAAUUUUGAUUAAGUGAGGGAUCAAAUAGAAAUAUGUAGUCAACUUUAUUUGAAGGUAGUUUGGAGGAUUUGAAAUAUGACUAUUGCUUUCCAAUUAGCUGUUUUUGCAUUAAUUGCGACUUCCUCAAUCUUAGUAAUUAGUGUACCCCUUGUAUUUGCUUCUCCUGAUGGUUGGUCAAAUAAUAAAAAACGUUGUAUUUUCUGGUACAUCAUUAUGGAUUGGAUUAGUCUUUCUGGUAGCUAUUCUGAAUUCUCUCAUUUCUUGAAUUUGUUUAGUAUUUAGUAGCCCGAUAUAAAAUAAAUAAAAAAGGCCUUUUUUCGAAAAAAAUCUUUGAUACACAUUAAAAUGCUAUUUUCGUUCUGAAUUAUUAUAUUACUUCUUCUCCUUCAUUAUUAUGAAAUUCUAUUGCCAUUAGAAUAUUGAUUGACAGACAAUUAAUAAAAA
This is an RNA transcript of Panicum virgatum (switchgrass), 5922 nucleotides long. It is a transcript of the gene named photosystem II D2 protein-like, with no coding region annotated. The record is from RefSeq and is a predicted model, not a curated record. The transcript is spliced from 2 exons. NCBI's taxonomy places the organism in Eukaryota, Viridiplantae, Streptophyta, Magnoliopsida, Poales, Poaceae.